Molecule: unclassified non-coding RNA, 236 nt
Filed under: Glomeraceae sp.
Lineage: Eukaryota; Fungi; Glomeromycota; Glomeromycetes; Glomerales; Glomeraceae
Description: partial internal transcribed spacer 2
Rfam family: 5.8S ribosomal RNA (bases 1-65)
Source: RNAcentral
GUGAAUCAUCAAAUUUUUGAACGCAAAUUGCACUCUCCUCGGAGAGUAUGAGUGUUUCUGUGUCAGCCUAUAUAAAAUCGACAUCGUUGUUGUUUCGCGGUGGCGUUCGUCGGAAAUUGGGUCAUCUUAUAUCGUUUUGGUUUUUAAGCGUGUUAGAAUUUUCUUUUUGGUUCGAUGAACGUUUCUAAGAUUUAUUUCUUUACACGUUUAAGGUAUCGAUUUUUAUUAGACGUGAC